This is a long non-coding RNA of Anser brachyrhynchus (Pink-footed goose), 1078 nucleotides long. The record is from Ensembl. NCBI's taxonomy places the organism in Eukaryota, Metazoa, Chordata, Aves, Anseriformes, Anatidae.
UAACUGCUGACACAGAGGUGUUGGUGCGCGGUGCUGGGGGCAGCCAGUGCAGAGCAGGGCCUGGGCAACCGGGAUGUGACAGUGCCGGCAGGGGUGGAGGCUGCUGCCUGCAGGCAUGAGCAACCCCCCAGCCCCAAGUCACACAGUGGCAUCUCUUUUAGUGUGGUCUACACCAAGUGUUGGGUUUCCAGCGCCGUGCUUUGCUGGGGAGCUCUGUUUAUGCAGCCUCACCUAGGAUUUGUUCAGCUAUAUGGUAACACGUCUUUAAUUUUAUUUUUUUGGAUGGGCAGAAUUUGUUCUCAUGUUUUAUGGAAAUGUUUUUACCACUUCAGUAUUAUUAUGCAUUAGGAUCAGUGAUGUAUUUUCAUCCGCAUGUGGUGCCUGUAAUGAAUUCUGCUGCCAAAUUUGUGCUGUUUACCCAACGGGCAUGGAAAUCUGAGGGCUGUGGAUGCAGGCCUCAUUAGCAGCAAUGAUUUAAUUUCUUAAUCCAAUAUGAUGUCUUGAUACUGUGGUGCUAAGAGCAGUAGAAGUACUUGAUUAAACCAGGGAAGAGUAAUGGGAAGAAAUGAUCCUAGAGCGUGAUGCUUCUACCUUCCUCCUGCUGAUCCGAGACGAGAACGUUCCUGGGCACAAGCCCCGUGGGGAUGCGGGACAAGGCAAAGCAUCUGUGGCCAUUCCAGCAUUGGAAGGGGCUUCUUAUUUUGAUUGCUUUGUUGCCCAUUUUUUUACGUCUCCCUUUUCCCUCCGUCUUUUCCAGAGCAUAUUUGUAACCAUGGAGAUAGGAAAACAGGAGAGGCACCUCGCCGCGCGGAUGGGGCAUGGCAACAAAUUGGUUUAUGGAGGGGCUGAGAAACUGUGCGUCGGCCAGUGGAUAAACAGGCAUUUUAUAGCACAGAGAAAUGGACACAGGGUGAGGAGCAUGAGGGAUCUCAUCAGAUCCCAAAUCCACACUUAGGUUGGUAAGCUGGCGACAGUCACAGGGCUUCUGCCCACGGAUGCGAUAAAUGCAGGACCCAGCUCACACAACCAGGCACACGUUCACAUGUCUCUAUUAAACUGAAUUCAAAUUUUAAUUACA